CGCAAAUUUAAUUUACAGUACGCAGACAGUGGAUGCCUUGGCUUUGUCCACCGAAGAAGGACGUGCAUGGCCGCGAAAGUCGUCGGGUAGCUGCCACGAAGCUUUGAUCCGGCGGUGUCCAAAUGGGAAAACCCAACCGAGCUCAUCCUCGGUUACACCGUGAUGAAGUCGCUUCGCAUAUUGCGUAUGAACUCGGAAUUUUCAAUUUUCAAACUCCAAUUUUCAAACAAAUUCAAAUUUUCAAUUUUCUAAAUUUAAAAAAACAUUUAGAAUUUAAGAUUUUGAUAAUUUUGUAUUGUUUGGAAUUUGAGAUUUGGAAUUUUGUUAUUCCGCAAAUUCGUAUGUAAUACGCGGAGCGUAUUAGUUGCGGUUGUGGGAACCCGGGGAACUGAAACAUCUAAGUACCCGGAGGAAAAUAAAUCAAUCGAGAUUGCCUUAGUAGCGGCGAGCGAAACGGCAAUAGUCUAAACCUUAUUCGUGCUUGCAUGAGUGAGGGGUUGCGGGACCUCAAUGUGGGAGUAAACACUAUAGUAAAACGGCAUGGAAUUGCCGGCCAUAGAGAGUGAAAGCCUCGUAUACAAAAUGGUGUUUGCCUCUAGAGGUAUCCCAAGUACCACGGUGCACAUACACUGUGGGAAUCCGGGGGAACCAUCCUCCAAGACUAAAUAUGAGACAAAGACCGAUAGUGAACUAGUACCGUGAGGGAAAGGUGAAAAGAAGGGCGGGACGCCCAGUGAAAUAGAACCUGAAACUGUUUGCGGACAAACCGAGAGAGCUCGUGCGUAGCACGAGAAUUUUCAAUGUUCAAUGAUCAAUAAUCAAUGAAUUUUCAAUGUUUAAAUUUUCAAAAUUUGAAUUUUAAUUAUUGGUAUUUGUUUGAGAAUUGUAAAUUGAGAAUUGGAAUUUCUCACGCUAUGCGUGAGUGAUCUCGUGCCUAUUGAAGAAUGAUCCGGCGAGUUGCCGUGCUUUUUUGUCUAACCCCGCCGAGCGGGGGGAGGCGUAGGGAAACCGAGUCUUAAAAGGGCGAAAAAAAGAAAGUAUGGCAGACCCGAAACCAGGUGAUCUAGCCAUGAGCAGGGUGAACCCCGAUGAAAAUCGGGGGGAGGCCCGAACCGGUUGUUGUUGCAAUAACAUCGGAUGACUUGUGGCUAGCGGUAAUAUGCCAAGCGAACCUGGAGAUAGCUGGUUCUCCCCGAAAGGUCUAUAGGGACCGUGGCCGUUUGAAAUUUAGAAGUGGUAGAGCUACUGGAUGGGUGUGAGAGGGUAACCGAUUACGUUCAACCAAACUCCGAAUAAUUCUAAAUGUAGCGGCUAGACAGUCAUACGGGGCUAAGCUCGUGUGGCGAGAGGGAAACAACCCAGAUUCUCAUCUAAGGCCUCUAAAUUUACCUUUCGGCCGUAAGGCCGUAAGUUUACUUAAGUUUAAAAGGAAGUCGUAUUCCCCAGACAACCAGGAGGUUGGCUUAGAAGCAGCCAUCCUUUAAAGAAAGCGUAACAGCUCACUGGUCGACUGGAAUGUGGCGCCUAAAAUUUAUCGAGGAUUAAAGGUAGUGCCGAAGAUAGAAAAGCAGCGCAAGCUGCUUGGUAGGGGAGCGUACCAAUUACAGUGAAGUCCCGAUGUAAAUCGGGGUGGAGUUUUUGGUAGUGAGAAUGCCGGAAUGAGUAGCGUACAAUGCCUGUGAGAAUCAGGCACACCGAAUUCCCAAGGUUUCCGUCGCGAGGUUCGUCCACGACGGGUUAGUCGGUUCCUAAGACGAGGCCGUUUGGCGUAGUCGAUGGACAAGCAGUCAAAAUUCUGCUACUUAUUUUAAGUCGCAAGAGCGUCCCGAUUUAUCGGGAUGCUAGUUGGGGGUUGACGAAGAUGGAUGAUUGAAGCGAGGACGUGAAGCCUCGUGCAAGUUGUUAAAUAGUCCCGAACAGAAAAACUUUCGGGGUGAUCAAUUGAGCAGUGAUGCAGAUCCUGUCGAAAGAUGGGGGAUUUCAUACAAUUCAACUUACAAGAAAAGACUCGCAACAAGACUUAAAGUGAGCCGUACCGUAAUCCAACACAGGUGGGAUGGUCGAGAAGACUAAGGUGAGCGAGAGAAGGAUCUUUAAGGAACUCGGCAAACAAACUACCCGUAACUUCGGGAGAUGGGUUGCCCCCGAUUUAAUCGGGGGUUGCAACUAAAGAGUGCUAGUCGGCUGUUUAUCAAAAACACAGGUCCGUGCAAACUCGAAAGAGGCGGUAUACGGGCUGACGCCUGCCCAGUGCCGGUAAGUUAAGGGGAUGGGUCCCCCGAUUUAAUCGGGGAGGCUUUGAACUGAAGCUCCGGUCAACGGCAGCAGUAACUAUAACUGUUCUACGGUAAAGGAUGAAAUCGUUGCCGUAGUAAAACCUAGCUAUAUGCUGGAAUAUCCUGUUAAACAGAAGCUACUAUGGUAUGAUCGUCCUGUAGAUGAUUACAUCAAGUAACAAAGCUUCUAGUAGGGACAAUCAGCAGGAAAGACCAAUUUAAAAAAGGAGGUGGUGUUUAUCUUAACUUUAAGAUAUGAGCGCAUUUCCGCCUUGGAUAUAUUUGUAUCCCCAUAGGAGUAUGGCAAUGUAGACAAUAGAGGAGAUACACUUACAAAAAAAUUAGUGCCUCCGCUCGUCUAUUAAAUCACUUUUUUAAAGAUUGGAAUCCCCAGAGACUAUACGCUAGGCCCUGAGUAAAAUCGAAGGGAAGAUAUAGUCCGAUCUCUAUGGAAACAUAGAGUUAACAUUUUCUGAGCGAAGUUCCUUGUCGGGUAAGUUCCGACCCGCACGAAAGGCGUCACGAGCUAGCAACUGUCUUGAAGAUUCACUCGGCGAAAUUGCGUUGGCUGUGAAGACGCGGCCUACUUGUACCAGGACAAAAAGACCCCGUGGAGCUUUACUGUAGUCUGGCAUUGGUUUGUGCAUUUUAAUUGUCAAGAAUAGGAGGGAGCCGUAAGGCAAUAAUGUGAUACCUCUCUUUGAAAUGUGUCAAAUCUUUACUCAUAAGCCUUGCAGACAGGUUUGAGGAAGGUGUCAGAUGGGCAGUUUUACUGGGGCGGUACCCUGCUAAAAGGUAACGCAGGGGUACAAAGGUUAGCUUACUACGGAUGGAAAUCGUAGGUUAAGUAUAAAGGCAUUAAGCUGGCUUGACUGCAACACCGGCGGGUGGAGCAGGUGCGAAAGCAGGUCUUAGUGAUCCCCCGAUGUGCAAUGGGUGCACACGGGGCUUAACGGAUAAAAGCUACCCCGGGGAUAACAGAGUAGUCGCGCCCGAGAGUCCAUAUCGACGGCGCGGAUCGCUACCUCGAUGUCGGCUCAUCACAUCCUGGGGGGGGAGCACCUCCCAAGGGUUGGUCUGUUCGCCCAUUAAAGUGGUACGUGAGCUGGGUUCAGAACGUCGCGAGACAGUGAAUAGUCCAAGCGGUCUCACCCUUUAGACGUUUUGAUAUUCGAGAAGUUGUUUUUUUGUCCAAAUAUGAAUGAAGGGAUAUAAAUCUGGCUAUAUGCUGGAAAAUCUCGUAAAAUGUUUAUCUACUAGUAUAUAAUUUAUUGACUAGUGAAAAUGAUAAACCUGAGACUAUCAGCAGGAAAGGCUGGGUUAUGUCUUUGUCGGAUGACUAUCUAAUUGGUUUUGUUGAAGGAGAGGGAAUGUUUUAUAUUGGUAUAGUUCCCUCGAAAGAAACAAAAUCAGGAUGGCAAGUUAUUUAUUUUUUCAAAGUUUCCCAAAACCCUGUCGGGAAGACGGUUUUGGAAGAACUGAAAAAGAGAUUAUCUUGUGGUUAUAUAAAAGCUAAUAGUCAAACAGAUAAAACUGACAAGUCACUUGCAUUUGUGGUAAGAGACUUAAUAAGUUUAAAAGACAAAGUAAUUCCAUUUUUUGAUAAUAAAUUAGUUAUCAAAAAGGGUGCUUUUAAGAAGUUUAAACGAGUUAUUGAUAUCGUAGUUAGAAAAGAGCAUCUUAAUAAAAUUGGAAUCCAAGAGAUUUUAAAUAUUGCUUAUUCGAUGAAUACCCAGAAAAGGAGGGUUACCAAAGAGCAAAUACUUAAAUCUUAUUUAACCUAGAAUCCCCAACGACUAUACGCCAGAAGCUGCGAAGCUAGAAUUAGCGAAGUGGUUAAGAUAUAGUCUGAUCUCAUAGGUGACUAUGAGGAUUGAUAAUUCGUUCAGUCGUAAAAACGAGCGAAAUGUGAUUGUUACAUUAAUGUCGGACUCUAUCCGGUACAAGCGUUCGAGUCUUGAGGAGAGCUCUCCCCAGUACGAGAGGACCGGGAGGGGGAAAUCCCUAGUGUGCCGGUUGUCACGUCAGUGGCAACGCCGGGUAGCUACAUUUCUAACGGAUAACUGCUGAAAGCAUCUAAGUAGGAAGCCAACUCCAAGAUUAGGACUCGUCAUCAGAUCCCUGGCAGACUACCAGGUUAAUCGGCAGGCGGUGGAAGGCAAGUCAAUUGCUUAAGCCUACCUUGCACGAAUCGAUCGAAUUAAUUUGCGAU
Molecule: non-coding RNA, 4488 nt
Organism: Candidatus Woesebacteria bacterium
Lineage: Bacteria; Candidatus Woeseibacteriota
Source: Rfam